AUUGAACGCUGGCGGCAUGCCUUACACAUGCAAGUCGAACGGUAACAGGUCUUCGGAUGCUGACGAGUGGCGAACGGGUGAGUAAUACAUCGGAACGUGCCUAGUAGUGGGGGAUAACUACUCGAAAGAGUGGCUAAUACCGCAUGAGAUCUACUGAUGAAAGCAGGGGAUCGCAAGACCUUGUGCUACUAGAGCGGCCGAUGGCAGAUUAGGUAGUUGGCGGGAUAAAAGCUUACCAAGCCGACGAUCUGUAGCUGGUCUGAGAGGACGAUCAGCCAGACUGGGACUGAGACACGGCCCAGACUCCUACGGGAGGCAGCAGUGGGGAAUUUUGGACAAUGGGCGAAAGCCUGAUCCAGCAAUGCCGCGUGCAGGAUGAAGGCCUUCGGGUUGUAAACUGCUUUUGUACGGAACGAAAAGCCCUGGGUUAAUACCCUGGGGUCAUGACGGUACCGUAAGAAUAAGCACCGGCUAACUACGUGCCAGCAGCCGCCGUAA
RNAcentral lists this ribosomal RNA (498 nucleotides) under uncultured bacterium. Its description in RNAcentral is "partial 16S ribosomal RNA". It matches the Rfam family "Bacterial small subunit ribosomal RNA", at positions 30 to 523 of the family's 1533-position model. The record is from RNAcentral.